AGCGAACGCUGGCGGCAGGCUUAACACAUGCAAGUCGAACGCAUCCUUCGGGGUGAGUGGCAGACGGGUGAGUAACACGUGGGAACGUACCCUUCGAUCUGGGAUAACUUCGGGAAACUGGAGCUAAUACCGGAUACGCCCUUUGGGGAAAGGUUUACUGUCGAAGGAUCGGCCCGCGUCUGAUUAGCUAGUUGGUGGGGUAACGGCCUACCAAGGCGACGAUCAGUAGCUGGUCUGAGAGGAUGAUCAGCCACACUGGGACUGAGACACGGCCCAGACUCCUACGGGAGGCAGCAGUGGGGAAUAUUGGACAAUGGGCGCAAGCCUGAUCCAGCCAUGCCGCGUGAGUGAUGAAGGCCUUAGGGUUGUAAAGCUCUUUUGUCCGGGACGAUAAUGACGGUACCGGAAGAAUAAGCCCCGGCUAACUUCGUG
Molecule: ribosomal RNA, 432 nt
Filed under: uncultured bacterium
Lineage: Bacteria
Description: partial 16S ribosomal RNA
Rfam family: Bacterial small subunit ribosomal RNA
Source: RNAcentral